This 492-nucleotide ribosomal RNA is filed under the name uncultured bacterium. RNAcentral describes it as "partial 16S ribosomal RNA". It matches the Rfam family "Bacterial small subunit ribosomal RNA", at positions 29 to 507 of the family's 1533-position model. The record is from RNAcentral.
AGUGAACGCUGGCGGUAGGCCUAACACAUGCAAGUCGAACGGCAGCACAGUAAGAGCUUGCUCUUACGGGUGGCGAGUGGCGGACGGGUGAGGAAUACAUCGGAAUCUACUUUUUCGUGGGGGAUAACGUAGGGAAACUUACUCUAAUACCGCAUACGACCUACGGGUGAAAGCAGUGGAUCUUCGGACCUUGCGCGAUUGAAUGAGCCGAUUUCGGAUUAGCUAGUUGGCGGGGUAAAGGCCCACCAAGGCGACGAUCCGUAGCUGGUCUGAGAGGAUGAUCAGCCACACUGGAACUGAGACACGGUCCAGACUCCUACGGGAGGCAGCAGUGGGGAAUAUUGGACAAUGGGCGCAAGCCUGAUCCAGCCAUACCGCGUGGGUGAAGAAGGCCUUCGGGUUGUAAAGCCCUUUUGUUGGGAAAGAAAAGCAGCAGGUUAAUACCCCGCUGUUCUGACGGUACCCAAAGAAUAAGCACCGGCUAACUUCGUG